Molecule: long non-coding RNA, 1067 nt
Filed under: Capra hircus (goat)
Lineage: Eukaryota; Metazoa; Chordata; Mammalia; Artiodactyla; Bovidae
Description: lncRNA (ENSCHIG00010032230.1)
Source: RNAcentral
ACUAGACGGACCUUAGUUGGCAAAGUAAUGUCUCUGCUUUUGAAUAUGCAGACUAUUAAAAACCUUCAAAUCAACAUCUAGUUUUAAAUUAUGUGAAUGAUUUAUUUUAUGAGAACUAAUGAUCAAAUCUGGAAGAAAACACAAGCUGACUUCUAUCAAAUUGGGGUUGGGUGGGAUUAGAUGUGACUAAGGCAUCAAUAUGCUAAGGGAUGGAAAAAGAUAUCUUUUGCUUUUAAAAAAUUUUCACUCAAGCCCUUUAGAGAUGAACUUUGAUUACCAUUAACGCUCUGCUAUGAUGACAGUGCUUUGAAAUACUCAGAGGAAUGAGCCAACAAGAUACUUCCUUUCCAAUCUCAUCUAAUGUAGCAAUUAUAAUUUGAAUCAGAGCCAAGGGAAUUAUAACAAUUGCACAGAGUCAAAUGGCAGGAAAACCAAGGUUUAUUCCUCACAUUUAGACCAUCAUUAGUGAAACCCUAUGGACAGUCUGGAGACUAUGAAAAAUGUCAUAAAUUGGUGCAGGUGAUUUUUAUGCAGAGUGGGCAGAGGUACAGAAUUAUUGUAAAAUAAUUUUUAUCUAAUAAUUUGGAAGUCUAGAGAAUGUGCCUGUAUACAGAGAUAAGUUAGGCCCCAAAGUUCCAGUUCAGCUAUUUACCACAGCUGAUUAAACUGACCCUACAUAGGGAGAGAUCAAUUGUUCCCUGUUGCUGUGGUAUGGUAUCAUUUGAACAGCCCAGAUUUUCCCUUCGUGUCACUUGUUAAAAUGGGUGGUGUGUGGAAAUGAUAAGACAUAAAUCAAAGUAUGAUAAAAAUACUGAAAUCCACAUUUAAUGCCUGUAGUUGCUUGCAAUGGGAUUCUGAUAAAACAAAAAGCCUCUUAUAUAUAAAGUUUAAAUAUUAUGUUAAUCAGAAGGCCUGGCGUGCUGUGAUUCAUGGGGUUGCAAAGAGUCGGACAUGACUGAGCGAGUGAACUGAACUGAACUGAGUAUGUAUCUGUUAACUCUCAAUUCCCAAUUUAUCCCUCCUUUCCCUUCCCUUUGGUAACCAUAAUUUUGUUUUCUACAUUUGUG